UACGUAGGGAGCGAGCGUUGUCCGGAAUUACUGGGCGUAAAGGGUGCGUAGGCGGUUUGGUAAGUCAGAUGUGAAAUACCCGGGCUUAACCCGGGGGCUGCAUCUGAUACUGUCAGACUUGAGUGCAGGAGAGGAAAGCGGAAUUCCUAGUGUAGCGGUGAAAUGCGUAGAUAUUAGGAGGAACACCAGUGGCGAAGGCGGCUUUCUGGACUGUAACUGACGCUGAGGCACGAAAGCGUGGGGAGCAA
Molecule: ribosomal RNA, 248 nt
Filed under: uncultured Christensenellaceae bacterium
Lineage: Bacteria; Bacillati; Bacillota; Clostridia; Christensenellales; Christensenellaceae
Description: partial 16S ribosomal RNA
Rfam family: Bacterial small subunit ribosomal RNA
Source: RNAcentral